This 225-nucleotide unclassified non-coding RNA is filed under the name Hevea brasiliensis (rubber tree). Lineage: Eukaryota; Viridiplantae; Streptophyta; Magnoliopsida; Malpighiales; Euphorbiaceae. The record is from RNAcentral.
GUUCCAUUGUGGGACUUGUUGCCGAGGGACACUUUGAGUUGUUGAGGUUGGGUGGCUUGUGCAAGAGUGUUGCCGUGAGCUCCAUUGUAACUCAUUGGUGAGUUUGGUUAUAAACUUGUUGCCGUGAGGUUCCUUGGGACCCCUUUUGUGGUUGGGUUGAUUGCCGUGGAUCCUUGAGUUGGAUUGGUAGCCGUGAACAUCCCUUGGGACACUUGGUGUUUGGAG